GCACCCGUAGCUCAAUGGAUAGAGUACAAGAUUCCGGAUCUUGCGGUUGGUGGUUCGACCCCACUCGGGUGCG
Molecule: transfer RNA, 73 nt
Filed under: Candidatus Levyibacteriota bacterium
Lineage: Bacteria; Candidatus Levyibacteriota
Description: tRNA-Arg
Rfam family: tRNA
About the family: Transfer RNA (tRNA) molecules are approximately 80 nucleotides in length. Their secondary structure includes four short double-helical elements and three loops (D, anti-codon, and T loops).
Source: RNAcentral